RNAcentral lists this long non-coding RNA (254 nucleotides) under Coffea arabica (coffee). RNAcentral describes it as "long non-coding RNA (CARA_LNC002349)". The record is from RNAcentral. Lineage: Eukaryota; Viridiplantae; Streptophyta; Magnoliopsida; Gentianales; Rubiaceae.
CGGCCAUCAGUCCCAAAUGAGCGAGUUCACUUCGUUAUCUUUAAUAGAGAAAGUAAGCUACAGGAGGUACUUGAUUGUUUGCUUGCUUCUCCUACGUACGGCUGAAAAGAAAACUACUACUCCAAGCUAAAAAGGGUCAAGUCCCUACUAGAUGACGAAAAUGGAAAAGUCAAAGAAAACUAAGCUAAACUAGAAGAACGGAAAACUAAGAAGAAAAGCAAGACAGUGGCUGUCCCACCAUUCCUAUUCUCUCU